Molecule: long non-coding RNA, 1484 nt
Organism: Podarcis muralis (Common wall lizard)
Lineage: Eukaryota; Metazoa; Chordata; Lepidosauria; Squamata; Lacertidae
Source: RefSeq, a predicted model, not a curated record
AGCCGCCCAGAGUGGCUGGGGAAACUCAGCCAGAUGGGCAGGGUAUAAAUAAUAAAUUAUUAUUAUAUUAUAACCACUGCCAUCUCCUCUCAGGAUCCAGUUUAUAGAAAUACUGAUUUUAUGUUUUAUUCUGUAUACAUAAAAGUAAGCUGUUUUGUAAUUUACUCUUGUUUACUUUGACAAAUGGAAAAUUGGUUAAAUAAACAAACAAACAACAAUAUGUGAUUUAGGUAGUUUCCAGGAAAGGAGGAAGUUUAUAAAUAACUCCAACCUAGUGUUUCAUUACUGAGCUGCCCUUUCCUCCUCCUCUCACCUAGUGGUCUAAAAUAGAAAAUACCCAUUUUUCCUAUUGUUACAGUGUAACUUCCUGCAAAUGAAGAAGAAGAAUACUUGUAAGAUUUUCCAUGUUGUAUUAAUCUAGGCAGACACCGUGGGAGCUGUCUGGAUAAUGUGGUUCGUUGCAAUUCUAGUUCCAGACAGAAAUGCAGCACUCCCAAAAGAAAUAACCACAUGACCUAAAGUACUGUCACUGCUCCAUGAUCUAUUCUAAACUAAUGUGCUUGUUGCAUAUGUUACUACUGUGGUGCAGGUCUCUAUGAAGAAAUCACCUUUUAAAAUAUGUUUACAAGAUGAGACUUGUUUUAUAGGUGCAAUGUGGGGGGGGCAUGCAAGGUUUAAAUUUUAAAAGUGUCCAUCCCAUUUGAUUAUCCAGUUAUGUAAGUACCUAAAGUUGGUCUUGGGAAUGCAGUAGUUUUAUAUACUGUGAGAGAGAAUUGUAAAAUUAACCUUACGAUUGGCUUACUGGGCAGAAACUCUGGGUUACUCACUGGAUGGGAAAAGUGGGAAGUCUACAUCAUGCAAAUCCACUUGGCUGAAGGCAAGGUGGCUGAGACAUAAAUAAGUCUAUUCUACUACUGUUGAGUAACAGCAGAGACUGCUGACCAGAGGAGGAAGGCUUGCUAAGAAGAAAAAUCUGAUGGAGAAGCCGGAUGUCUGGAAGCAGGUGGGAGACAGGCAGGAGGCUAUUCAGGCUGGAUAUAUAUUAUGCCCCCAAAGAGCUGAAUCACUGGCUUAAGCUGGAGAUCCAGCAGUGAGGAAAAUUCAGAAAGGAGCUUCUGGAGCUGCCCGGAGAAUUGCCUUGAAAGCCUUUCUCAAAUGAAACCAGCUGAAGUCUGCAGUUCCUGCUGGUGAGAUUGGGGAAGAGGGACUAAGGCAAAAGCAUCAAAAUUGGAGAACAAUAAUAUUUAAAAUUCAACCAUUAACAUGAACUUCAAACAAAAGCACAUUUUGAAAAAUGCAAAACAACAAAGCAGCUGUAAAAGCAGAGAGAUGGCAAGAAUAAAAAGAUUUAUUAAAACCUGGGAGAAUAAAUCGUUUUCAGCAGAAACCGUAUGUAUGCCUGUUGGUUAGCAACAGAAGAGUGGCAGGAUCUGUCCAUCUGCGGUCAUGGAGAUUUAAACCAUAAAGCAUUCUAUAAGAAUUUA